CUUUAGAUGGCUGAGAAUAUAAGCGUUGAUCUUUUAAAUCAAUUUACGGUUUUUAACCUCUAAAGA
Molecule: transfer RNA, 66 nt
Filed under: Osborniella crotophagae
Lineage: Eukaryota; Metazoa; Arthropoda; Insecta; Psocodea; Menoponidae
Description: tRNA-Lys
Source: RNAcentral